Molecule: ribosomal RNA, 449 nt
Filed under: uncultured bacterium
Lineage: Bacteria
Description: partial 16S ribosomal RNA
Rfam family: Bacterial small subunit ribosomal RNA
Source: RNAcentral
AACGAACGCUGGCGGCAUGCCUAACACAUGCAAGUCGAACGAGAUCUUCGGGUCUAGUGGCGCACGGGUGCGUAACGCGUGGGAAUCUGCCCUUUGGUUCGGAAUAACAGUUGGAAACGACUGCUAAUACCGGAUGAUGACGAAAGUCCAAAGAUUUAUCGCCAGAGGAUGAGCCCGCGUAGGAUUAGCUAGUUGGUGUGGUAAAGGCGCACCAAGGCGACGAUCCUUAGCUGGUCUGAGAGGUUGAUCAGCCACACUGGGACUGAGACACGGCCCAGACUCCUACAGGAGGCAGCAGUGGGGAAUAUUGGACAAUUGGCGAAAGCCUGAUCCAGCAAUGCCGCGUGAGUGAUGAAGGCCUUAGGGUUGUAAAGCUCUUUUACCCGGGAUGAUAAUGACAGUACCGGGAGAAUAAGCUCCGGCUAACUCCGUGCCAGCCGCCGCAGUAA